Molecule: long non-coding RNA, 283 nt
Filed under: Lathyrus oleraceus (garden pea)
Lineage: Eukaryota; Viridiplantae; Streptophyta; Magnoliopsida; Fabales; Fabaceae
Description: Pisum sativum (pea) long non-coding RNA (PSAT_LNC017315)
Source: RNAcentral
GAACUGUAAGAGAAUAACAGAAGAUCUUGCAAAGAAUCAUCAUGGCUGGUGGCUCGUCCUUGUUAACAAAGCAACUUGAUAUCACAUGGGGAAGAAACAGUGAAAAUAUAAAAAUUGUUGUAAUAUGUUCUCAUUAAGCAAUAAAAUGAUUACAACUUAUUUAUUUAUUUAUAUUGAAUAUUGUAAUUCAAAUUUAAGAUUAUUUGUAUUUAAGUUUCAUAUGAGUGUAUAUUUGAAUUUAAGUUGAAUUUGAAUAAAUAUAUAAGUCCAAAGUGAAUUGUAU